GGCACUGUGGCGGAGUGGUUAACGCGACAGAUUCGAAUCUAUGAUGUUAACCGAUUCAUCUGUUCCACUUGUUGGGCGCAUGUUCGAAUCAUGCCAGUGUCG
Non-coding RNA from Roridomyces roridus, 102 nucleotides. NCBI's taxonomy places the organism in Eukaryota, Fungi, Basidiomycota, Agaricomycetes, Agaricales, Mycenaceae. The record is from the annotation of a GenBank genome assembly.